Molecule: long non-coding RNA, 2102 nt
Organism: Anas platyrhynchos (mallard)
Lineage: Eukaryota; Metazoa; Chordata; Aves; Anseriformes; Anatidae
Source: RefSeq, a predicted model, not a curated record
GGGCCCCAGCUGGGGGGUUAAAUGAGUGUAGAGUGAGCAGGGAAAGUCUGUGCUGUGUUCAUGGGCGGAAAAAACAAAGGGGGUAUGACUGCUGUGCAAGGAGCAGUAAGGUGGCUGGAAGAUAUGUGAUUUGUCUUGGUUUUGGGGCUGUCUGCAUUGUGCCCGGGUGAUUCAAGAAGUAAUUGGGUGAUGGCCGAUGUGGGAAGCUCUGACAAGCAAGGUGCUGCCUCCAGGCCAGGAUGUCUCCUGGAUGAAGAGCCAGGGUUUCAUCAUCCAGAAGGUUGUCUGGAGCAGCACUCAGAUAAGAGAGAUGAAGUUGAUCAACUGUUUGCUGUGCUGUGGGUCCUGAAUGAGAACACCCUGUCUCUGCUGUUCUCUGGAACUGUGAAUUCCCCAGCUUAUGCUCCGUGGGCUUAAAUAAGACCUCUGCUUCUAUUUGGAAGUAGGUUUUUUUGUUUUCUUGAAUAAAACAUCUUCUCCGAUGCUGUUGCCCCUCCCCAGGCCAUAGUCAAGCAGCAUCUCAGGCUAGUUCCUUAAAUCAAGAGAACUGUUUAUGUCCUUGGAGGCUGGAAUAAUAACAGCUGAAGAAAGCCAUGAGACGCAGGAGGAAUUCAUUUGUAAGUUAAUGAAGGCUGUGCAGUGCAGCGGAAGGAUGGUCGGGGAUGUUCCUGGGCAGCAUUUACCAAGCUAGAUUUCUUUCUGUUGGCAUUGUUCUCCCUUGAAGCAUUGUGGACCAGCUUAAAUACCACUUAUGUAUGAGUUUAUUAUAGUUUUCCUUCUUCCAAAGAUGUGCUCUGUGUAACAGCCAGUGUCCAGCAUUGUGGCAAAAAUGGAGGAAAGCUCUCAAAAGAGAGAACCUACUUGCUGGUUACAUGCCUGUUAAAAUAGAGAAGGAAAAAAAAAGGAUGCUUGAGUGGACAAAGUGUUGCUGCUCGAGUUGGUGAGGCUUGGGGCUGUUCAGCAGCUGAAGCCAGCCCUUUGCCUCCUCUCUCAGCACCUGGCCCAGGAGAUCGGGCAGCAGCCUGCUGGCAGGGGGGCUCCGGGAAAGCAGCUUGUUCCUUGUCCUGCAGUCAGCUGCUGGCAGCAGGGCUGACAGCUGAUGGUCGGUGUGCCUUCUGGGCUGCGGAAGCCUUUCCAAGUGCAAAUGGGCUUGUUUCAUAUCAGCCAGUGAAUAGCUGCCCAACAGUAAAUUGGGCUUUGCAAAUAAAUUGAUUCUUUUCACCCCUUCCGGACCAGCAGCACAACUGGAAAAUUCAGCUUGGAUCAAAGAGAGGAGAUAAAGACUCUGAGUCCUUUCUGUGCCCAGAGGAACUUUCUGUUGUUUCCCUCUACUUGCAAUCCAUCAUUCAGUCUGAGGCAAAAUCAACCGGUCUGGGGUUUCUUCAAGAAAAAACAAGGGAAUUUGAAGCCUGCAUUCUUGAAGCCAGCAGCGCCUGCUUUUCCACCAGCCAGUGUGUGCUUUGGAGGUGCUCUCCUGGUGGGAAAAUGGGAUCCUGGAGGGAACAAACGCUGAGGUUCUGCCUGGGCACUGGGGUGGUCAGAGCAGGCCAGCGGUGGCGUAUUACAGCGCUGCUUCUGCUGUGAGUCAGAAGCAGACUCGUCACCGUCAUGUGGCUUUCCAGUCACAAGGACGUGUUUGUCCUCUCUCACGCUUACACUGCUGUGGCUCUUGAAGGAGCCUGAACUCGGUUCCAUGACUUACUCUGCAGCAAGACCUUCGCUAUCCAAAGGAGCAGACCUGCUUCUGUGUUCUCUUUCUGCCUCUUACCAGCUUAGGUUUUAGAUCUCCAACCCUUAGAUGCAGGAGAACCUAACGCAGACCUUGGUGGCCAGAGCUCUCCUGCAGAAGCAGGCUGCAGCUGUAGUCCCUGUGGAUCUUGAUCCAUGAUAGAGCCAGAACCUGUGCCCUGCCUUCCCCUGAUGUAGGAGCACAAGUGGGUUUCUUUUCCAUCUAGUUGCUUCUUGACAUGCAGGGUGUAAAAACAUAAAUCCAGCUAAUGCUGAUAGAGGCGUAGAGGUCUCAUAGUAAUUAAACACCAAGCUCAGAAGUUACCGAGAGUGGGAGGGGAAAGGAGCUGCAAACAGCAUAAUCGUAUCAGCUG